GCGAAAGCUGUGCUAAUACCGCAUACGAUCUACGGAUGAAAGCGGGGGAUCGCAAGACCUCGCGCGAUUGGAGCGGCCGAUAUCAGAUUAGCUAGUUGGUGGGGUAAAAGCCCACCAAGGCGACGAUCUGUAGCUGGUCUGAGAGGACGACCAGCCACACUGGAACUGAGACACGGUCCAGACUCCUACGGGAGGCAGCAGUGGGGAAUUUUGGACAAUGGGCGCAAGCCUGAUCCAGCAAUGCCGCGUGCAGGAUGAAGGCCUUCGGGUUGUAAACUGCUUUUGUACGGAACGAAACGGCGGGCUCUAACAAAGCCCGCUAAUGACGGUACCGUAAGAAUAAGCACCGGCUAACUACGUGCCAGCAGCCGCGGUAAUACGUAGGGUGCAAGCGUUAAUCGGAAUUACUGGGCGUAAAGCGUGCGCAGGCGGUGAUGUAAGACAGAUGUGAAAUCCCCGGGCUCAACCUGGGACCUGCAUUUGUGACUGCAUCGCUAGAGUACGGUAGAGGGGGAUGGAAUUCCGCGUGUAGCAGUGAAAUGCGUAGAUAUGCGGAGGAACACCGAUGGCGAAGGCAAUCCCCUGGACCUGUACUGACGCUCAUGCACGAAAGCGUGGGGAGCAAACAGGAUUAGAUACCCUGGUAGUCCACGCCCUAAACGAUGUCAACUGGUUGUUGGGUCUUCACUGACUCA
This 695-nucleotide ribosomal RNA is filed under the name uncultured bacterium. RNAcentral describes it as "bacterial SSU rRNA". It matches the Rfam family "Bacterial small subunit ribosomal RNA", at positions 151 to 842 of the family's 1533-position model. The record is from RNAcentral.